RNAcentral lists this ribosomal RNA (468 nucleotides) under uncultured bacterium. RNAcentral's name for it is "partial 16S ribosomal RNA". It matches the Rfam family "Bacterial small subunit ribosomal RNA", at positions 28 to 507 of the family's 1533-position model. The record is from RNAcentral.
GACGAACGCUGGCGGCGUGCUUAACACAUGCAAGUCGAACGGAAAGGCCCUGCUUUUGUGGGGUGCUCGAGUGGCGAACGGGUGAGUAACACGUGAGUAACCUGCCCUUGACUUUGGGAUAACUUCAGGAAACUGGGGCUAAUACCGGAUAGGAGCUCCUGCUGCAUGGUGGGGGUUGGAAAGUUUCGGCGGUUGGGGAUGGACUCGCGGCUUAUCAGCUUGUUGGUGGGGUAGUGGCUUACCAAGGCUUUGACGGGUAGCCGGCCUGAGAGGGUGACCGGCCACAUUGGGACGGAGAUACGGCCCAGCCUCCUCGGGGGGGCAGCGGGGGGGAAUAUUGCACAGGGGGCGGAAGCCUGAUGCAGCAACGCCGCGUGCGGGAUGACGGCCUUCGGUUUGUAAACCGCUUCCGCCGGUGACGAAGCGUGAGGGACGGUAAUGGGUAAAGAAGCCCCGGCUAACUACGUG